RNAcentral lists this ribosomal RNA (496 nucleotides) under uncultured bacterium. RNAcentral describes it as "partial 16S ribosomal RNA". It matches the Rfam family "Bacterial small subunit ribosomal RNA", at positions 28 to 506 of the family's 1533-position model. The record is from RNAcentral.
GAUGAACGCUGGCGGCGUGCUUAACACAUGCAAGUCGAGCGAACGGCCGAGUAGCUUGUUCUUCGGGUGUUAUCGGCUUAUGGGUGAGUAACACGUGGAUAAGUUACCUAUAAGUCAGGGAUAACUUCGGGAAACCGGAGCUAAUAUCGGAUAAUAUUUUAAACCGCAUGGUUCAAGAGUGAAAGACUGUCUUGCUGACACCUAUAGAUGGAUCCGCUCUGCAUUAGUUAGUUGGUAAGGUAACGGCUUACCAAGGCAACGAUGCAUAGCCGACCUGAGGGGAUGAUCCACCACACAGGAGCGGGGGCGCGGUGCAGACUCGGACGGGAGGCACCAGUAGGGAACCUUCCGGAAGGGGCGGAGGCCUGUAGUGGCAACGCGGCGUGAGUGAUGAAGGUCUUCGGAUCGUAAGACACUGUGAUUAGGGGAGAGCAUAGGUGUAAGUAACUGUGCGCAUCUGAACGGAACCUAAGCAGAAGGCCCGGGCUAAUUCGGG